GCGAGAAGCCGUAUCGUUGCCA
This 22-nucleotide microRNA is filed under the name Plutella xylostella (diamondback moth). RNAcentral describes it as "pxy-miR-8514-5p". Lineage: Eukaryota; Metazoa; Arthropoda; Insecta; Lepidoptera; Plutellidae. The record is from miRBase by way of RNAcentral.